GAGGGUAGAGCUCAGUGGUAGAGCACAUGCAUAGCAUGCAUGAGGUCCUCGGUUCAAUCCCCAGUACCUCCA
RNAcentral lists this transfer RNA (72 nucleotides) under Camelus bactrianus (Bactrian camel). It matches the Rfam family "tRNA". From Rfam's summary of the family: Transfer RNA (tRNA) molecules are approximately 80 nucleotides in length. Their secondary structure includes four short double-helical elements and three loops (D, anti-codon, and T loops). The record is from Rfam by way of RNAcentral. RNAcentral also lists the same sequence under 2 other names. Lineage: Eukaryota; Metazoa; Chordata; Mammalia; Artiodactyla; Camelidae.